UCAGCCUCGGUGCCGGCAUGCAGAGGGAUUUCAGCUGCAGUGGCUUGCGCAGGGAGAAAUGCUUAUGCCACUGGAGGUUGGAAGCAACAGCCUCCUCGAGUGCUGGGGUUCUUUGCGGGCUGGAGCCAGGAGGACACGUUCUCUGGGGCAGGGAUUGAUCGUCGGUGCCUCUACCGAGUGUGAGUGUAUGAACAGAUCCGGGGCAGCCCGCGGGCAGCGCGCCUGAGCCCUAGCUGUUCUGUGUUGGGACUGCAAGGCUUGUUUGGGAAAUCCCAUUCUAGCUUCAAUCCACAUCGAUUCCUGAAUCCUGCCACAUGCUAGCAGGACAUCUGAGGUCCACGCUGCCUUUCGAGACCAGAUAACAGCAGCAACAAAACAUUAAUAUGGACUUUGUCUUUAAAAGCCAAAUCUUUGAGAAUUAGUACUGGAAUGUGAAACUCUUACUUGUGCGGGACUUUAUUGGCAGAUCUAAGCAAACGUUGCAGCCUGUUCUAAGGUCUAGUUAGGUUUUCAGCUAAAGGAAACUUUGUUUUUCGUAUGGGCAUGAAGAAAUAUUUUUCUGGCUUUUUAAAGCUGUUUUCCUCUAACAAAAUAUAUUCAAUUGUCUAUCCAUCUUCCCUCAGAAAGUGUCACUGCAUUUUGUAUUAAAAAAAGAAAAAAGCCUCGCAGUGCCCUGUGAAAAAGAGCUGAUGCUUAUCUCACAGAUUGAGAAUGGGGAGUGGGAGUAAUGAAAGUGAAAGGGAUUUACUAGAACUAAUGAAGAAAAUCUGUGAUGGAAUUGAGAUUAGAAUCUUAAUCUGUUUAUAUCUCUACACCUUACUGUAGAUUUAGGUCAGCUCUUGCUGGGCUGAAACUGGGAUCGCUGAAAGCAGUGAAGCCUUCCUGAAACUUCAGAUGCAACAAAAGUUUUCCCAAAUGGCUGUUCAGAGAGGAGCGUGUGGAACAAUCGUCUGGACCCGCAGAGUUAAUGGCACAUGUUCUGCCCCUUUGGAGAAAGCCGAAUUUUAUGUUGGUGGGCCCCCCUCCCUGGCCAAGCAGCGCCAGGUUCACUUAAGUAAGAAAGCAGAAUGGGAACAAUCGGAGAGGAACUCCCUUAACUGUGACACUGCAUAGAAAAGGCUGCGGUCUGUGGAUUUCACAACAGCUUUUCUUUAAAACUUACCUUAAUAUUUCAUCCAUCUUACCCAUCUAGUUCCUGCAGGUAACAGUCAGGAGUUACGGAUUCAGAUGUCAUGAAAAUCAGUGAACGGUUUUGUGGCAUAAUUUCUUUUUUAUUGAUAGGUAUUGUGAUAGCAGGGACUGUUUGUGGGUCUGAGGUUUGGCAUCGCCAACAGAGGAACUAAGGCACAAUCCGAUAUGGGUGUACAAGACAGAAACAGAGCGUGCAAGACUCCCCUAGGCAGGUUUGGGCAAAAUACGACACUGCACGAAGGGAGAACAGAAGGAAAGUGGCAGAACGUGGAGGGGGAAAAACUGCAGAACAGCAGGAAGAGAGACUGAGAGGGAAGAGGAUUUGUAGAGGUAGUAGAAGAGAGGCGGAGGAAAAGCAGAAGCCAAGUGUCUAUGGAAGCAAAUGAAAUAUUUGGUAUGAUAAAAGCUGGCAAAGGCUGGCAGAGCUAGAUCAGUAACGGGAGGAAGAAGGAGUUAACAGCACUUGCUGCAGCACUUUCUGUGCCGUUGGCCUCUCCUACGCCCCUGUACCACCGCUUUGUCCGUGUCAGUCUUCCAGAUACGCAGAGAAAAUUCCAGCUCGGCCUCCAGUGAUUUGGUCUGUUUCUCUGAGUCUUUGCUUCUGGCUCUGAAUUCUCCAGGGGGACCAGAGGGCAGCAAAGGGCUUAAACAACAACUUUUUUUUUUUUUUUUUAACUUUCUCUUCAUUGAAGUACGUGGUCUCUUCCAGCAUUAGUCUGAAGCUUCAUUUAGUAGAGGAAACUUUGCAUUUAAUCCACAGGCUUAUUAGGGAAACAGCACAGCAGGAAACUAGUUAGACUGUUGAGUAGAAAAUAGACUUGCUAAUAAACCUCUUGUUCUCAUUACCGUCCCAAGAUGCUGAACACUUUUUGUUUUGAUAAACAGAAGUCGGUGAUUUUGGAUGACACUUCCUUGGGUUUUUUUCCUUAAAUUAAUACCUUGCAGUCUGGUUCAAAGGCAAGAAAAUGGGGUAUUUCAGACAGAAUUGUACAUUUCUUGUAUACAACUCAUCCCUUUGCUUGACACCUAUAAUCACAAAGAAAAUAAAAACUUGGCUUUUUUGUAUCAGUG
Molecule: long non-coding RNA, 2262 nt
Organism: Grus americana (Whooping crane)
Lineage: Eukaryota; Metazoa; Chordata; Aves; Gruiformes; Gruidae
Exons: 2
Source: RefSeq, a predicted model, not a curated record